RNAcentral lists this ribosomal RNA (515 nucleotides) under uncultured bacterium. RNAcentral's name for it is "partial 16S ribosomal RNA". It matches the Rfam family "Bacterial small subunit ribosomal RNA", at positions 28 to 523 of the family's 1533-position model. The record is from RNAcentral.
GACGAACGCUGGCGGCGUGCCUAAUACAUGCAAGUCGAACGCUUCCUACCGGUGCUUGCACCGGGAAAGAAGAGUGGCGGACGGGUGAGUAACACGUGGGUAACCUACCUACAAGCGGGGGAUAACACUCGGAAACGGAUGCUAAUACCGCAUAGAUCUCUUUGUCUCCUGACAGAAAGAAGAAAGACGGUUUCGGCUGUCCCUUGUAGAUGGACCCGCGGCGCAUUAGUUGGUUGGUGAGGUAAUGGCUCACCAGGACGAUGAUGCGUAGCCGACCUGAGAGGGUGAUCGGCCACACUGGGACUGAGACACGGCCCAGACUCCUACGGGAGGCAGCAGUAGGGAAUCUUCCGCAAUGGACGAAAGUCUGACGGAGCAACGCCGCGUGAGUGAAGAAGGUUUUCGGAUCGUAAAACUCUGUUGUUAGAGAAGAACAAGGAUGAGAGUAACUGCUCGUCCCUUGACGGUAUCUAACCAGAAAGCCAUGGCUAACUACGUGCCAGCAGCCGCAGUAA